ACAUACAGGAAUCUGCUCUAUGCAAGGACAGUAAAUACUUAUCCUGCGCGUUUGUGCAAUUCUUUCGUCUUUUUUCCCCUUCCUGUCAACGUUCAUGCGUUGAGCAAUGCUGCCAGCUGCGAAUAUCUACCGACUAAUUCUGAUUGUAGCCGGCGUUGUCGUGCUGCUCGGCAGCGCGGUGUCAGAUGUUCGCGUUGGCGUGACAAGGUGUGGCGGAAUCAUCCCGAUUGACAGUCAGUAUCUUCUUGACCCUGUCUGGGCCUUUACAACCUUCCGAAACCGUAUUGAAAGGUUAAGCAACGGCUCUCUCGUCUUCGAGAAAAGGUUUGUUUCUGAGAGACUCAAGGAGCAGAUAGUGAUGGAGUCUGGCACGGACCUCAGCAGUGUGACUGUGUUCGAGAUUGUGCCGACGACUGGCAAAAGCACCGAUGCUGCAGGUUCAAAAAGUGCCAGUGAGCUGUGCUCCGUCUCUCUCGACCCUCUGGCUGGCGCCAUGGAUGGUGUUGUCUCCCGCGGCGCGCGCCUCACUUUUCUCAACGCGGAUCCUACAGAGAGUGAGGCGUGCUCUUCGGCUUUGAAUGUCUCCCUGCAACCGCACCAGGGAAACGCAACCUGGGUUUACUUUGCCAGGGCCAAGCUCGCACACUCGAACUCGAUCACAUUGGUCAGCGCCUCCGGCGUCACGUGGCCGAUGACGCUCACUUUCAGCUCUGAAUGCGCAAUUCAGCUGAUUCUCCUCUUGAAUCGGUAUGGUGCAAUCGACCGAUGGUUUGUAUGGAUACCAACGACCGCCUACACUGGUGCAGUAGUGGCUAUUCUUCUUCCCGUCGUUCUACUUCGUUCGCGACUUCCCAUUCACCUCGCCGGGGUCUGCUUGUUUUUGGUUUUCCUAGGGUUUUUCGGCUCUUGCAUUGGUCUUGUUGUCGAGCUGCUUCAAUGGCAGAGCGCGGUGGGAAGGCUGUAUCCUUUCCCAGACUCGGUCACGCUUUACUGCUGUCUUUGCCUGCUGUACACACUGCUGUUCGUGCCUGUUUUGUACCGCCAAGGAAACAACACAAUCCUCUUUAUGGGAGUAACUCGGCUCCUUAUUUUUGGUCUCAACUGUGCCCUGUGCGUCGGUUAUUGGAUAAUGGGUUUCGUAGUUUUGGGUUCUUUGGCAGUACUUCAGUAUCUGGUCACCAAUUUUAUUCUAACCUACUACUAUGCCUACGUUUCAGUGUACCUGCGACGUGCAGUGAAGGGAACUUCGUCCCUACCCAAGUUCUCGAACAACUUCGUGUAUCUCUGGUGCGCGCCUGUCACACCGUUCGCAUGCUGUGCGCUGAUGUACUACGACUUGUAUCUGCUCACUCACAGCAACGUUGAGCGCGAUCCCGUGGCGGCUCGCAUGCAAGAUGUCGUUCGUAUCUACAACGCCCAGCUGUCAUUGCCGCUUCUGUUUGUUCAGAAUGUGUAUGGGGUCGCACUCCUAGCAACCGCUUGUGCUUAUCACAUGCCUUUUUUUACGCUUCUUUUUGUGGCUCUUCUCCUCUGGAUCGUGCACUCCAUUUACGUGGUUGAACAGUGCACAAAAGAGUGGGCACGGUGGCACCGGCGCGGCCGGUCUUUGGGAUUUUGCGAGUGCCUUUCUAUCUCUACCGCCAUGACGGCACUCCUCUCCCUGGAUUACGAAGCGAAUGCGUCGCGAACAGCCAGUUUGUCUCCGCACAGUGUGCGACAAGCUCCUCAAUCGAAUCAGCACCAGAGAGGUAUCGUCGCGUAUCAGACAGGAGAGGCACUUUACACUCCUUCAGAAGAGAACGAUAGCAGCGAAGUGGUUUCCCCGCCUUCUCCGUCUUCUUAUCAUUCGGGGGACAAUCAUCUGUCGACGUCCCAACGACGCCCCGCAAGUAACCCUGCAGGAUCCACUACCCUGCCUACAGAGCGUAUCAACGAUGUUCUGGAGUUCUGGCCGAACAGCGUGGAAAGGUAGCGCUCAUGCACGUUGUCGCCAAGCGUUGUCGUGGUUCCUUGACGGGACCUGCUUACUUGAUUGAAGUACGAUGCGCAUGCUGGUUUGCACCUUUCCUUUGGCAUUUGCAUCGUCUGAGUUUUAUACGUGGACUUCUUUUUCGGUCCCGUUCACCCCCCUUGCCGUUGCGUGUCGUCAUAGAAAAUCGAAUCAAGGUCGUGGGCACAAACGCGCAUUCUCGUGUACAGUGCAGAGAUGGAAAAGGACCCCCUGCUCCGACUCCUUUCAUCCUCUCAGGUCGAACACGUGAAGCACAGGUGGGGUGCUAAAAAGAGGUGCAACUACGCGUUCACCCCGAAGUGGCUGCCAACCCUCUGAACGAUAAUAAUUACUAAAAGGAUCAUCGCAACACCAUUCGAAUCCACCACUGUUUUGCACGACUCUCUUUUCUUUGUUUCUAUGAAAUGCUUUGAACUUUUUUUGUUUGUCACACUCGCCACCCACGCCCGCCGACCGUUUGUGGCUAG
This 2478-nucleotide unclassified non-coding RNA is filed under the name Leishmania donovani. RNAcentral describes it as "gene:LdHU3.13.0520(CDS-product:hypothetical_prote in_conserved)". Lineage: Eukaryota; Euglenozoa; Kinetoplastea; Trypanosomatida; Trypanosomatidae. The record is from RNAcentral.